ACCCGCCCCCGGAGCGGCCAACCUGGGCCACUAGCCUGGAGCGUGAACAUGAAGGUGGAACUGGGCCACCAGAAAGGGCAAAAGCUGCAGCUGGCUGGAUGUUCCUGGGACAGUGGGAAGAAGAGAUCCAAUUUUUGCGCCUUUGAUUGUCAGAGUGCUGAUGGAUGAAUUUGAGCUUCAGCACCCUGUAAAUUGGGUGUGGUGGCACACCCAGUGGAGACAGGAGGGUCGGAAGGAAGUUCAAGGUCAUCCUUGGUUACAUCUAAGGUUUGAGUUCGAGGCCAGCUUGGCCUACAUAAGACCCUGUCUCAAAUAUGCAUACACACACACACACACACACACACACACACACACACACACACACACAUAUAAUCUAAAAGGGUACUGAGGAGUGACAUCACUGUGGAAAAGGCUAGGACCAGGGCAAGGGCCCUAAUUUACUAAAAAUCAAGGAAAUUGCCGUCACUUACCUAUAAACUCCCUCAGGGGACAGCUGUUGCCUACGGCUGGGCAUCCAAACCCAGGCAGCCCCUGCUCUGCUGUCACAGAGUGAACUGACUGACUCACUCAAACUCAGGGCGCUUGAUUCUGGCUGGAUUCCCCGUGGUAAAUACCAGCCUGUGCGCUUGGCUCCGGGAUCUACUUCACUAUUCAAACAUUUCCUGGGAAGGAGUCCUACCAUGCAACUUUUCCCUCAGGAAGUGGGGAUAUCUAAAGGGGCAAGAAGCCCCCCAACACACACACACACACCAUUUGGCUGACCAUCUGAAUGACUAGGUGGAUGAUGUAUGCUGACUCCACCGUAUGGAGCCAAAAGUCCCGUUUACAUCUGCUGUUGAUGCUCUUGGAAAAAGAUGUCCCGAGAGAUGCCUGCGAUGAACUGCCAUAGUUAAGCGUGCGCCUUGCUAGGAAGAACUUGAAGUGUCUCCAUUCUCCUUGGGAAAGCUCUUCACAUUUACAGAUACACAAAAUAAGCUGACCCUUUGGCGAAGACAGUGAGCCACCAAGCUGAAGAAUUAUAAAUAGGCUCUCUUGAAUCGAGGCCGCCUGGGCUCUAUUUUGUUUCAUACUCGUAUCUAGAGUUAUGUAAAACUGGUAACAGCUUUCAGCCAAUGUAACACAGGCAUGCUGAAUGCUUUUUAGAAAGAUAAUAGGAAUGCGUGGGUUAAACACCACACAAAUCUGUGGGUGUCUACAAUGAACAUGAAGGGCGGAAUCUGCAAAUAGCAAAUAUCAGAUUGGGCAAGUUAUUAACUCUUUACCAGCCAAAUGAGAACUGACUGGCGGCGGCGGCUGCGGCGUCUGAGUGGAGGUGAAGCCCCUGGAAAAGAAAACCGGUUGGCGCUGCCAAGUAACAGGGAGAUAAAAAAAAUUAAUCUGAAAAAAGCCUCUAAAUGUGUUAAUUAGCAAGAUUUUGGCAACCUCCGAGGAUAGUUACAUCAGCAUGGAGGAGGUGGGGGCCAGAUGUGUAGUGGGCAACCAGGAAAUUUAGCUACAGAAGGGACCAGCAAGGCACGGGAAGGACUUGCUCGCCUGCAAGCUUCCCAGGCCUGUAGGCUGAAGUCAAGGAAGAAGCAAGGGACACGAUGCCGGAGACCCGAACACUCAGUGAGCACACGAGGGCAGAAAGCUGCAGGCAGCACCCCACUUCUGUCCAACCUCUGCCCUCUGACUGCACACCCAAUAACUAUGGGAGGCGGGCAGCCAGGAACAAGAGCCCUGCCACCAACUGCCCUUCGUGUCCUCCUUCACAUUGCUAGUGCCCUCUGGCUUGUUCACAUAAGUACUUGUCUAUCUUCCAGGUUGUCACCAUGCAGAGCAGGGCUGUGUGGCACUGUCUUCUUUGGCCUCCUUCCACAGCAGUAAGUGUUCCUGACCCUAACAAGAAGCUGUAAAUAAUUCCGUGGAUUAAAAACUCAGACUUCCCAACAAAAAGAUAUAUUGGGUCAUAAGUACUAUAAAGAAUAAAGGCACAAAAAUGAUAAAGGAGUUUGCUAUUUUUAUAGGCCAUUAAAAGGUGGUCUGACAAAAAUCCGGGCAGAGGUUGACUAUGGAAAGGGGACAAACCGCAGGCAUCUCUGUAGGACAAGCUUUCCAGCAAAGGAAACACCGAGCACAGAAGCUUUGAACAAGUGUGUGCCUGGCAUAGAAAGGCACAGCGAGGUGGGGAAACCAAACCAGGCCCUGGGCUAGGAGUCACACGAGGAAAGGUCAGGAAGCCACAGCUCGGGUGGAGGGAAACCAAACCAGGCCCUGGGCUAGGAGUCACAUGAGGAAAGGUCAGGAAGCCACAGCUCGGGUGGAGGGUUUUGUGGGCCAGGGUCACUGUCAGGAUAUGAAUGAUAUUCAAAGCCAUGAAACCUGCAGAAUUAAGGUACUUCAAUAAUGGUCAGAAAGGCCGCCCCAAACUGCAAAGAUAAAAGGAAACAGAAUCCAAACUCAGUAACAUCACAUUUUCUCCUGCUAAAUUUACAAACUCUUAAUAACUGAUACUGGUAAAAGCCCUUAAGGGAAAGCUUUUUUUUUUUCUUUUCAGAACAGGGUUUCUUUGUGCAUCCCUGGUUGUCCUGGAAUUAGCUCUAUAGAUCAGCCUGGUCUCGAACUCAAGAGAGAUCUGCCUGCCCCUGCCUCCCCAGUGAUGGUAUUGAAUUAAAGGCAUCAGCCACAACACCCUGGCUUUGUGUGUGUGUGUGUGUGUGUGUGUGUGUGUGUGUGUGUAGCACACAUGUGCAGUACACAAAGUGGCCAGAAGAGGGUAUUGGAUCCCCUGGAACUAGACCUACGAAUGGUCCUGAGCCACCAUGUGCUCUGGCCAGUCAGUGCUCUGACCACUGAACCAUCUCUCUAGUCCCCUUGUUUUUCACUUGCCAAAAUAAUUCAAGCAUCAGCAAAUCACAUUCUUUUAUCCAGAAUUGUGAAGAAGCCUAAGGAGAGUGCACAUAUUCAUAGGUAGGCCAUUUGUGUUUUAGAAAAUUCUUGUGCUGUACACCAAAUGAAAAGAAUUUUCUGAAUAGGUGCCCUUAAUAAUGGCCCUAAUCCAGUGGUUCUCAACCUCUGGGUCACGACCCCCCUGUGAGUUGCAUGUCAGAUAUUUCUGAUUCAUAACAGUAGCAAAGAAGCAAUGUUAUGGUUGGGUGUCACCCCACACGAGGACCCGUAUUGGAGGGCUGCAGCGUCAGGAAUGUUGAGAGCCGCUGCCCAUCCCUUCUGCUGGUAGUUGUUCCUUUCCCGUCAGCUUCAUUACCCUCCCCAAAUGGAGGCUUCUCCUCAGGUCAGGGUAAAUCAUAAAUCAGACUGUAAGUACACAAGAGCCUUUCGGAAUCCUUCAUUCCGGCCCCUGUGCCAUGUGACUGUCAAGGCAACAGAGGGUGAAGACAAGGUUUUCUGGCAAAGAACAAACACUGCCCUACGUCUCCAGAACUUUCCACAUCACAGGAGGAUCUAACAAUGCCAAAUGUUCAUGAGCAAAGUGUUGACCAGACUUCAGAGAAACACUAGUUUUAUAAAGCACAGCAGAAAGUAAGACCAAACAUAGAGAGAUUAAGAGUCCCCAGUUUGGCCAGGUGGUGGCACACACCUUUAAUCUCAACACUCAAGAGGCAGAUCUGU
This is a long non-coding RNA of Peromyscus californicus insignis, 3609 nucleotides long. RefSeq lists it as uncharacterized. NCBI's taxonomy places the organism in Eukaryota, Metazoa, Chordata, Mammalia, Rodentia, Cricetidae. The transcript has 3 exons. The record is from RefSeq and is a predicted model, not a curated record.